This 502-nucleotide ribosomal RNA is filed under the name uncultured bacterium. RNAcentral's name for it is "partial 16S ribosomal RNA". It matches the Rfam family "Bacterial small subunit ribosomal RNA", at positions 29 to 523 of the family's 1533-position model. The record is from RNAcentral.
AUUGGACGCUGGCGGCAUGCCUUACACAUGCAAGUCGAACGGCAGCACGGGUGCUUGCACCUGGUGGCGAGUGGCGAACGGGUGAGUAAUACAUCGGAACGUACCUUAUCGUGGGGGAUAACGCGGCGAAAGCUGUGCUAAUACCGCAUACGCCCUGGGGGGGGAAAGCGGGGGCUCGCAAGACCUGGCGCGAUUAGAGCGGGCGAUGCCUGAUUAGCUAGUUGGUGGGGUAAAAGCCCCCCAAGGCGACGAUCAGUAGCUGGUCUGAGAGGACGAUCAGCCACACUGGGACUGAGACACGGCCCAGACUCCUACGGGAGGCAGCAGUGGGGAAUUUUGGACAAUGGGGGCAACCCUGAUCCAGCAAUGCCGCGUGAGUGAAGGAGGCCUUCGGGUUGUAAAGCUCUUUUGUCAGGGAAGAAACACCGGCUCUAACACAGUCCGGGAAUGACGGUACCUGAAGAAUAAGCACCGGCUAACUACGUGCCAGCCGCCGCGGUAA